This 586-nucleotide ribosomal RNA is filed under the name uncultured Bacilli bacterium. Its description in RNAcentral is "bacterial SSU rRNA". It matches the Rfam family "Bacterial small subunit ribosomal RNA", at positions 173 to 750 of the family's 1533-position model. Lineage: Bacteria; Bacillati; Bacillota; Bacilli. The record is from RNAcentral.
CAAUCGAAACCGCAUGGUUUCGGUUUGAAAGGCGCUUUUGCGUCACUGAUGGAUGGACCCGCGGUGCAUUAGCUAGUUGGUGAGGUAACGGCUCACCAAGGCAACGAUGCAUAGCCGACCUGAGAGGGUGAUCGGCCACAUUGGGACUGAGACACGGCCCAAACUCCUACGGGAGGCAGCAGUAGGGAAUCUUCGGCAAUGGACGGAAGUCUGACCGAGCAACGCCGCGUGAGUGAAGAAGGUUUUCGGAUCGUAAAACUCUGUUGUUAGAGAAGAACAAGGAUGAGAGUAGAAUGUUCAUCCCUUGACGGUAUCUAACCAGAAAGCCACGGCUAACUACGUGCCAGCAGCCGCGGUAAUACGUAGGUGGCAAGCGUUGUCCGGAUUUAUUGGGCGUAAAGCGAGCGCAGGCGGUUUCUUAAGUCUGAUGUGAAAGCCCCCGGCUCAACCGGGGAGGGUCAUUGGAAACUGGGAAACUUGAGUGCAGAAGAGGAGAGUGGAAUUCCAUGUGUAGCGGUGAAAUGCGUAGAUAUAUGGAGGAACACCAGUGGCGAAGGCGGCUCUCUGGUCUGUAACUGACGCUGAG